This 1489-nucleotide ribosomal RNA is filed under the name Helicobacter pylori SouthAfrica20. RNAcentral's name for it is "bacterial SSU rRNA". It matches the Rfam family "Bacterial small subunit ribosomal RNA". Lineage: Bacteria; Pseudomonadati; Campylobacterota; Epsilonproteobacteria; Campylobacterales; Helicobacteraceae. The record is from RNAcentral.
GAGUUUGAUCCUGGCUCAGAGUGAACGCUGGCGGCGUGCCUAAUACAUGCAAGUCGAACGAUGAAAUUUCUAGCUUGCUAGAAAUGGAUUAGUGGCGCACGGGUGAGUAAUGCAUAGGUUAUGUGCCUCUUAGUUUGGGAUAGCCAUUGGAAACGAUGAUUAAUACCAGAUACUCCCUACGGGGGAAAGAUUUAUCGCUAAGAGAUCAGCCUAUGUCCUAUCAGCUUGUUGGUAAGGUAAUGGCUUACCAAGGCUAUGACGGGUAUCCGGCCUGAGAGGGUGAACGGACACACUGGAACUGAGACACGGUCCAGACUCCUACGGGAGGCAGCAGUAGGGAAUAUUGCUCAAUGGGGGAAACCCUGAAGCAGCAACGCCGCGUGGAGGAUGAAGGUUUUAGGAUUGUAAACUCCUUUUGUUAGAGAAGAUAAUGACGGUAUCUGACGAAUAAGCACCGGCUAACUCCGUGCCAGCAGCCGCGGUAAUACGGAGGGUGCAAGCGUUACUCGGAAUCACUGGGCGUAAAGAGCGCGUAGGCGGGAUAGUCAGUCAGGUGUGAAAUCCUAUGGCUUAACCAUAGAACUGCAUUUGAAACUACUAUUCUAGAGUGUGGGAGAGGUAGGUGGAAUUCUUGGUGUAGGGGUAAAAUCCGUAGAGAUCAAGAGGAAUACUCAUUGCGAAGGCGACCUGCUGGAACAUUACUGACGCUGAUUGCGCGAAAGCGUGGGGAGCAAACAGGAUUAGAUACCCUGGUAGUCCACGCCCUAAACGAUGGAUGCUAGUUGUUGGAGGGCUUAGUCUCUCCAGUAAUGCAGCUAACGCAUUAAGCAUCCCGCCUGGGGAGUACGGUCGCAAGAUUAAAACUCAAAGGAAUAGACGGGGACCCGCACAAGCGGUGGAGCAUGUGGUUUAAUUCGAAGAUACACGAAGAACCUUACCUAGGCUUGACAUUGAGAGAAUCCGCUAGAAAUAGUGGAGUGUCUAGCUUGCUAGACCUUGAAAACAGGUGCUGCACGGCUGUCGUCAGCUCGUGUCGUGAGAUGUUGGGUUAAGUCCCGCAACGAGCGCAACCCCCUUUCUUAGUUGCUAACAGGUCAUGCUGAGAACUCUAAGGAUACUGCCUCCGUAAGGAGGAGGAAGGUGGGGACGACGUCAAGUCAUCAUGGCCCUUACGCCUAGGGCUACACACGUGCUACAAUGGGGUGCACAAAGAGAAGCAAUACUGCGAAGUGGAGCCAAUCUUCAAAACACCUCUCAGUUCGGAUUGUAGGCUGCAACUCGCCUGCAUGAAGCUGGAAUCGCUAGUAAUCGCAAAUCAGCCAUGUUGCGGUGAAUACGUUCCCGGGUCUUGUACUCACCGCCCGUCACACCAUGGGAGUUGUGUUUGCCUUAAGUCAGGAUGCUAAACCAGCUACUGCCCACGGCACACACAGCGACUGGGGUGAAGUCGUAACAAGGUAACCGUAGGUGAACCUGCGGUUGGAUCACC